This is a long non-coding RNA of Hyla sarda, 702 nucleotides long. RefSeq lists it as uncharacterized. Lineage: Eukaryota; Metazoa; Chordata; Amphibia; Anura; Hylidae. The record is from RefSeq and is a predicted model, not a curated record. The transcript has 3 exons.
UAAAAAUCAGCUGAAAAGGUACAGGAAAAAGAAAAUAUUCCUACUGAAAACGGACAUCUGUCUUUAAAUGAAGCGUGAAGAAUUGGUGGCAAAUAGACCAAUUUCACUGGGAUUAUCGACUGACUGGGCUGCGCACUUCACACUACUUUUAGAAAGAAUCGUCAGCUUUUCACGGGUUCAUUGAACAGCAAUCAAAAGUGGCAAGGCCAAGCAAAGGGACGACCGGCGCAAUAGAUUGGUUUUUGAUUGGCUGGCGGGCUCUGCGCACGCUCCUGAUGUGACAGACCUGAAGCCGGAGGACAGAGGUCAACCUGACAAAAGAGAAGAUCAGCGGAGAAUCAAUGAAUCUUACAAGUCUCCGGAGUCUAAUAAAUUCAUGUGACAUUGGUGAUCAGAGCUCUAAAUUAUUCCGGCUCCACAACUUCAUCGACUCUCAGCUGGAGUCGACCUAAGGAACUUUCUACUUACUGUACAAGGGGAGAACUUUCUAAAGUAACUUCCAGAGGUGACUACAAAUGAAGAAGGGUUAAAGACAACCUGUCAUAUCCCACAAAAACAAAAUGUUAUAUGUUACUCAGUACCUAAUCCUAAUCAUGUACGUAUAAUUUGUAUGUGUCCAGCACCUAUAUUUCCCUCACAAAUACCUUCUUUCUGAUGCUCACUUGGUUUGUCAUCCCAUGCUCUGGAGGGGCUUGUCCUAAC